AUCCGGGCUUAAGGAUAAUGUUGCAAGCCACACACAUGUCCGGCCUCUAGGAGUCAUCCACACGAGCCCACGAAUCUCGAUCAGAAGUCCUGCUUCAGGAAAUCAGCACAGUAUGCUAGUACUGCGCUGAUCCUUCUUUGAUGGUUGAUCAGGUGCCUCCUUCUUCUUGAUUUGGACUCUUCCAAAGAUGGAAAGUAAAAGGAGGAGUUUCAAAUCUGAGACACUCUCAGGAAACUCAAGAUGGAGGGAGGAAA
Molecule: long non-coding RNA, 254 nt
Filed under: Elaeis guineensis (African oil palm)
Lineage: Eukaryota; Viridiplantae; Streptophyta; Magnoliopsida; Arecales; Arecaceae
Description: long non-coding RNA (EGUI_LNC020151)
Source: RNAcentral